GCACAGGGGGACUCUACGGGAGGCAGCAGUGGGGAAUAUUGCACAAUGGGCGCAAGCCUGAUGCAGCCAUGCCGCGUGUAUGAAAAAGGCUUCGGGUUGUAAAGUACUUUCAGCGAGGAGGAAGGCAUGCAAGGUUAAUAACCUUGGUGAUUGACGUUACUCGCAGAAGAAGCAGCGCUGC
This 181-nucleotide ribosomal RNA is filed under the name uncultured bacterium. RNAcentral describes it as "partial 16S ribosomal RNA". It matches the Rfam family "Bacterial small subunit ribosomal RNA", at positions 324 to 499 of the family's 1533-position model. The record is from RNAcentral.